CGCGAAUCGCCCUUCGGGGUGCACCAGGCGCGAAAACUUUACAAUGCUGGAAACAGCGAUAAGGGGACCUCGAGUGCCAGGUUACAAAUCUGGCUGUCGUGAUGCCUAAAAAGCAUUGCAUAGCAAGGGCCGGGCAAGACCGGUGCCAGCCGCCGCGGUAACACCGGCGGCUCGAGUGGUAACCGUUAUUAUUGGGUCUAAAGGGUCUGUAGCCGGCCGGAUAAGUCUCUUGGGAAAUCCAGCAGCUCAACUGUUGGGCUUUCAGGAGAUACUGUCUGGCUCGAGGCCGGGAGAGGUGAGAGGUACUUCAGGGGUAGGGGUGAAAUCUUGUAAUCCUUGAAGGACCACCAGUGGCGAAGGCGUCUCACCAGAACGGACCUGACGGCAAGGGACGAAAGCUAGGGGCACGAACCGGAUUAGAUACCCGGGUAGUCCUAGCCGUAAACGAUACUCGCUAGGUGUCGGCCACGGUGCGACCGUUGUCGGUGCCGUAGGGAAGCCGUGAAGCGAGCCACCUGGGAAGUACGGCCGCAAGGCUGAAACUUAAAGGAAUUGGCGGGGGAGCAC
Molecule: ribosomal RNA, 567 nt
Filed under: uncultured archaeon
Lineage: Archaea
Description: bacterial SSU rRNA
Rfam family: Archaeal small subunit ribosomal RNA
Source: RNAcentral